AUGAGGAAAGGCGCUCUCGCUCUCUACCUCCUCCUCCUACUCACCUUUGCUUCCAUGGCGGAGGAGGAUGCAGCUCAUCAUCGUCUGAGGCCUCAUCAACAUGAAACCCAAGGGGAGAGGAUGCAAACUGCCAGGAAGGUUGGGCGCAUGGCAGGUGGCUCUGGAGAAGGCAGCGGUAGGAACACUGGUGGUGGCGCCGCAGACACAGGGCCGCGCCGCACCAAGAACGGCGGCACUGUGGCCUCUGCUUUGGCGCUGGUUUUCACAGCUACCGCCCUUCUCUCCACGCUCAGCUUCUGA
Molecule: ribosomal RNA, 300 nt
Filed under: Triticum aestivum (bread wheat)
Lineage: Eukaryota; Viridiplantae; Streptophyta; Magnoliopsida; Poales; Poaceae
Description: partial small subunit ribosomal RNA
Source: RNAcentral